RNAcentral lists this ribosomal RNA (501 nucleotides) under uncultured bacterium. RNAcentral describes it as "partial 16S ribosomal RNA". It matches the Rfam family "Bacterial small subunit ribosomal RNA", at positions 30 to 523 of the family's 1533-position model. The record is from RNAcentral.
AUUGAACGCUGGCGGCAGGCUUAACACAUGCAAGUCGAGCGGAGAUGAGGUGCUUGCACCUUAUCUUAGCGGCGGACGGGUGAGUAAUGCUUAGGAAUCUACCUAUUAGUGGGGGACAACAUUCCGAAAGGAAUGCUAAUACCGCAUACGUCCUACGGGAGAAAGCAGGGGAUCUUCGGACCUUGCGCUAAUAGAUGAGCCUAAGUCGGAUUAGCUAGUUGGUGGGGUAAAGACCUACCAAGGCGACGAUCUGUAGCGGGUCUGAGAGGAUGAUCCUCAACACUGGGACUGAGACACAGCCCAGACUCCUACGGGAGGCAGCAGUGGGGAAUAUUGGACAAUGGGGGGAACCCUGAUCCGGCCAUGCCGCGUGUGUGAAGAAGGCCUUAUGGUUGUAGAGCACUUUAAGCGAGGAGGAGGCUACUGAGACUAAUACUCUUGGAUAGUGGACGUUACUCGCAGAAUAAGCACCGGCUAACUCUGUGCCAGCAGCCGCGGUAA